This 564-nucleotide ribosomal RNA is filed under the name uncultured bacterium. RNAcentral's name for it is "partial 16S ribosomal RNA". It matches the Rfam family "Bacterial small subunit ribosomal RNA", at positions 355 to 909 of the family's 1533-position model. The record is from RNAcentral.
UGGGGAAUUUUGGACAAUGGGGGAAACCCUGAUCCAGCCACCCCGCGUGUGCGAUGAAGGCCUUCGGGUUGUAAAGCACUUUUGGCAGGAAAGAAACGUCGCGGGUUAAUACCCCGCGAAACUGACGGUACCUGCAGAAUAAGCACCGGCUAACUACGUGCCAGCAGCCGCGGUAAUACGUAGGGUGCAAGCGUUAAUCGGAAUUACUGGGCGUAAAGCGUGCGCAGGCGGUUCGGAAAGAAAGAUGUGAAAUCCCAGAGCUUAACUUUGGAACUGCAUUUUUUAACUACCGGGCUAGAGUGUGUCAGAGGGAGGUGGAAUUCCGCGUGUAGCAGUGAAAUGCGUAGAUAUGCGGAGGAACACCGAUGGCGAAGGCAGCCUCCUGGGAUAACACUGACGCUCAUGCACGAAAGCAUGGGGAGCAAACAGGAUUAGAUACCCUGGUAGUCCACGCCCUAAACGAUGUCAACUAGCUGUUGGGGGCCUUCGGGCCUUGGUAGCGCAGCUAACGCGUGAAGUUGACCGCCUGGGGGAGUACGGUCGCAAGAUUAAAACUUAAAUGAA